RNAcentral lists this long non-coding RNA (281 nucleotides) under Nicotiana benthamiana. RNAcentral's name for it is "long non-coding RNA (NBEN_LNC023416)". Lineage: Eukaryota; Viridiplantae; Streptophyta; Magnoliopsida; Solanales; Solanaceae. The record is from RNAcentral.
AAAGAAGACAUUCAUUGAGACAUGGAGGGGAUAAGGGAGCAAAUAAGUAAAGUGCAGAUAAGUGAAGGGAACAGACAACAUGUUGGGCAGAAGUAAUCAGAUCUAUUUAAAAUAAAGGUUUAGCUAUUACUGUACUAAACCCCAAAAUAUAGUCAACCUCAUGGAGAGGUUUUAGAAUUGUUAAGUAGCCAAGCAGUAGUACACAUGGAGGAAGAACAUGCAUUGAGAUGGGGAGAGGGGAAUAGGGGAAAGACAUGCUAAGUUGAACUAAUAGACCAGUA